Molecule: ribosomal RNA, 479 nt
Filed under: uncultured bacterium
Lineage: Bacteria
Description: partial 16S ribosomal RNA
Rfam family: Bacterial small subunit ribosomal RNA
Source: RNAcentral
GAUGAACGCUAGCGGGAGGCCUAACACAUGCAAGCCGAGCGGUAGAGUUUCUUCGGAAACUUGAGAGCGGCGCACGGGUGCGUAACACGUGUGCAACCUACCUUUAUCUGGGGGAUAGCCUUUCGAAAGGAAGAUUAAUACCCCAUAAUAUAAUGAUUGGCAUCAAUUAUUAUUGAAAACUCCGGUGGAUAGAGAUGGGCCCGCGCAAGAUUAGAUAGUUGGUGAGGUAACGGCUCACCAAGUCAAUGAUCUUUAGGGGUCCUGAGAGGGAGAUCCCCCACACUGGUACUGCGACACGGACCAGACUCCUACGGGAGGCAGCAGUGAGGAAUAUUGGACAAUGGGUGAGAGCCUGAUCCAGCCAUCCCGCGUGAAGGAUGACGGUCCUAUGGAUUGUAAACUUCUUUUGUACAGGGAUAAACCUACCCUCGUGAGGGUAGCUGAAGGUACUGUACGAAUAAGCACCGGCUAACUCCGUG